CCAAAUAUCAAGAUUAAAUAGCCAAUUUAUAUAGAAAAAUGCAAAGGGAAGUAACACUUAGCAAAUUUAUCACUUUUGCACUUUCAGUCGAGUGAGCUAUGCAAGGCACUAGCGGGUCGAGUGAAAGAGACGCACCGGUCGUGUGAGUAUCCAGCUGGGUUCGGUCGAGUGAACUUGUGCUCGGUCGAGGUACACACGCGUAUGUAGAGUAAAUCAAUGGGAAGCUCGAGUGGUGGUUGCUUCUGUCGAG
This 250-nucleotide long non-coding RNA is filed under the name Capsella rubella. RNAcentral describes it as "long non-coding RNA (CRUB_LNC000104)". The record is from RNAcentral. Lineage: Eukaryota; Viridiplantae; Streptophyta; Magnoliopsida; Brassicales; Brassicaceae.